Molecule: ribosomal RNA, 253 nt
Filed under: uncultured bacterium
Lineage: Bacteria
Description: partial 16S ribosomal RNA
Rfam family: Bacterial small subunit ribosomal RNA
Source: RNAcentral
UACGUAGGGUGCGAGCGUUAAUCGGAAUUACUGGGCGUAAAGCGUGCGCAGGCGGUUUUGUAAGCCAGAUGUGAAAUCCCCGGGCUCAACCUGGGAAUGGCAUUUGGGACUGCAAGGCUUGAGUGCGGCAGAGGAGACUGGAAUUCCUGGUGUAGCAGUGAAAUGCGUAGAUAUCAGGAGGAAUACCGAUGGCGAAGGCGGGAUCCUGGGCCAGUACUGACGCUGAGGAGCGAAAGCGUGGGGAGCAAACAGG